AUCAGAUUGAAGGAUCAGGAGGGAGGAUGUUCACUCUCUCUACAGCCAAUGAGGACAUGGAGGCCUACACAAAGCUCACAGACAACGUGUUUGAGGAAAUACUGAAGUCUUCCUGCUCAGAGCUA
Molecule: non-coding RNA, 125 nt
Organism: Labrus bergylta (ballan wrasse)
Lineage: Eukaryota; Metazoa; Chordata; Actinopteri; Labriformes; Labridae
Source: RefSeq, a predicted model, not a curated record